AUGUGUCAUGAAUUUAAAUUUGCUAAAUUUCGUAGACAACCCCGUGAUGAGGAAUUGCCUAAUAAGGAUGAAAUUAUUGGUCUUGCUUCUAUUGCCAUGCCUCCUAAUGACCCUUUAGAACAAUAUCUGCUUGACCAUGAAAAUGAUAUGUUUAUGAAUGAAAGAAGGGAAAUAGAUGAAGUAUUCUUUAAACAGGGACCCAUUCUGAAACACAACUUGCCUGUUGAAAUCCUAGGGGAUCCUCCUCCACCCAAGGGUGAUCCCGUGUUUGAGCUUAAACCAUUACCUGAUACUCUUAAAUAUGCUUAUCUUGAUGAAAAGAAGAUAUAUCCUGUUAUCAUUAGUGCUAACCUUUCAGAGAAGGAGGAAGAGAGAUUACUGAAAACUCCGAAGAAGCACCGUGCUGCUAUUGGAUAUAGUCUUGAUGAUCUUAGGGGCAUUAGUCCCACUCUAUGUCAACACAAAAUAAAUUUGGAGAAAGACGCCAAACCAGUUAUUGAUCACCAACGACGGCUAAAUCCUAAGAUGAAAGAAGUGGUAAGUCCUGUCCAUUGUGUCCCUAAGAAGGGAGGUAUUACUGUCGUUCCUAAUGAUAAAGAUGAAUUGAUCCCGCAAAGAAUUAUUACAGGUUAUAGGAUGGUAAUUGAUUUCCGCAAAUUAAAUAAAGCUACUAAAAAAGAUCAUUACCCUUUGCCUUUUAUUGAUCAAAUGCUAGAAAGAUUAUCCAAACAUACACAUUUUUGCUUUCUAGAUGGUUACCCUGGUUUCUCUCAAAUACCUGUGUCAGCUGAGGAUCAAGAAAAGACCACUUUUACUUGCCCUUUCGGUACUUUUGCUUAUAGACGUAUGCCUUUUGGUUUAUGUAAUGCACCUGCUACCUUUCAAAGAUGCAUGAUGGCUAUAUUCUCUGACUUUUGUGAAAAGAUUUGUGAGGUUUUCAUGGAUGAUUUCUCUGUUUAUGGAUCCUCUUUUGAUGACUGCUUGAGCAACCUUGAUCGAGUUUUGCAGAGAUGUGAAAAAACUAAUCUUGUCUUGAAUUGGGAGAAAUGCCACUUUAUGGUUAAUGAAGGUAUUGUCUUGGGGCAUAAAAUUUCUGAAAGAGGUAUUGAAGUUGAUAAAGCUAAAGUUGAUGCUAUUGAAAAGAUGCCAUGUCCUAAGGACAUCAAAGGUAUAAGAAGUUUCCUUGGUCAUGCCGGUUUUUAUAGGAGGUUCAUUAAGGACUUCUCAAAAAUUUCUCGGCCUCUGACUAAUCUAUUACAAAAAGAUAUACCCUUUGUCUUUGAUGAUGAUUGUGUAGAAGCAUUUGAAAUACUUAAGAAAGCUUUGAUUUCUGCACCUAUCAUUCAGCCACCUGAUUGGAAUUUACCCUUCGAAAUUAUGUGUGAUGCUAGCGAUUAUGUUGUAGGUGCUUUUCUAGGACAAAGAGUUGAUAAGAAGCUAAAUGUUAUCCAGUAUGCUAGUAAAACUCUAGAUAGUGCCCAGAGAAAUUAUGCUACUAGUGAAAAAGAAUUCUUAGCAGUUGUAUUUGCUUGUGAUAAGUUUAGACCUUAUAUUGUUGAUUCUAAAGUAACUAUCCACACUGAUCAUGCUACUAUUAAAUAUCUGAUGGAAAAGAAAGAUGCUAAACCUAGACUAAUUAGAUGGGUUCUCCUACUACAAGAAUUUGAUUUGCAUAUUAUUGAUAGAAAGGGAGCUCAGAACCCCAUUGCAGACAACUUGUCUAGGUUAGAGAAUGUUCUUGAUGACCCACUACCUAUUGAUGAUAGCUUUCCUGAUGAACAAUUAGCUAUCAUAAAUGCUUCUCGUACUGCUCCCUGGUAUGCUGAUUAUGCUAAUUACAUGGUUGCUAAAUUUAUACCACCUAGUUUCACAUACCAGCAAUAG
Molecule: ribosomal RNA, 1884 nt
Filed under: Triticum aestivum (bread wheat)
Lineage: Eukaryota; Viridiplantae; Streptophyta; Magnoliopsida; Poales; Poaceae
Description: partial small subunit ribosomal RNA
Source: RNAcentral